CGAUCCUGCAUCAGGACGAGGUGCGCGACGUGUUCGCCGCGCAGCCGGGGCUCUCCCGGCUGGCGCGGCGGAUCGUCACCGCCUCGUUCGAC
This 92-nucleotide transfer RNA is filed under the name Microbacterium azadirachtae. Its description in RNAcentral is "tRNA-OTHER". Lineage: Bacteria; Bacillati; Actinomycetota; Actinomycetes; Micrococcales; Microbacteriaceae. The record is from RNAcentral.